RNAcentral lists this ribosomal RNA (446 nucleotides) under uncultured bacterium. RNAcentral's name for it is "partial 16S ribosomal RNA". It matches the Rfam family "Bacterial small subunit ribosomal RNA", at positions 338 to 795 of the family's 1533-position model. The record is from RNAcentral.
CCUACGGGUGGCAGCAGUCGAGAAUAAUUCACAAUGGGGGAAACCCUGAUGGUGCGACGCCACGUGGGGGAAUGAAGGUCUUCGGAUUGUAAACCCCUGUCAUGUGGGAGCAAAUUAAAAAGAUAGUACCACAAGAGGAAGAGACGGCUAACUCGGUGCCAGCAGCCGCGGUCAUACAGAGGUCUCAAGCGUUGUUCGGAAUCACUGGGCGUAAAGCGUGCGUAGGCAGUUUCGUAAGUCGUGUGUGAAAGGCGCGGGCUCAACCCGCGGACGGCACAUGAUACUGCGAGACUAGAGUAAUGGAGGGGGAACCGGAAUUCUCGGUGUAGCAGUGAAAUGCGUAGAUAUCGAGAGGAACACUCGUGGCGAAGGCGGGUUCCUGGACAUUAACUGACGCUGAGGCACGAAGGCCAGGGGAGCGAAAGGGAUUAGAUACCCUUGUAGUC